GUGUGCCUACGGGGGGCAGCAGUGAGGGAUAUUGGUCAAUGGGGGAAACCCUGAACCAGCAACGCCGCGUGAGGGAAGACGGUUUUCGGAUUGUAAACCUCUGUCCUCUGUGAAGAUGAUGACGGUAGCAGAGGAGGAAGCUCCGGCUAACUACGUGCCAGCAGCCGCGGUAAUACGUAGGGAGCAAGCGUUGUCCGGAUUUACUGGGUGUAAAGGGUGCGUAGGCGGCUUUGCAAGUCUGGAGUGAAACGCAUGAGCUCAACUCAUGCAUGGCUUUGGAAACUGGAGGACUGGAGAGCAGGAGG
RNAcentral lists this ribosomal RNA (305 nucleotides) under uncultured bacterium. RNAcentral describes it as "bacterial SSU rRNA". It matches the Rfam family "Bacterial small subunit ribosomal RNA", at positions 333 to 655 of the family's 1533-position model. The record is from RNAcentral.